UACGUAGGUGGCAAGCGUUGUCCGGAAUUAUUGGGCGUAAAGCGCACGUAGGCGGCAUUGCAAGUCGGAUGUGAAAUCCCUCGGCUUAACCAAGGAAGUGCAUCCGAAACUGCAGUGCUUGAGUACUUAAGAGGAUCGCGGAAUUCCCGGUGUAGAGGUGAAAUUCGUAGAUAUCGGGAGGAACACCAGUGGCGAAGGCGGCGAUCUGGGAAGAUACUGACGCUGAGGUGCGAAAGCGUGGGGAGCAAACAUG
Molecule: ribosomal RNA, 253 nt
Filed under: uncultured bacterium
Lineage: Bacteria
Description: partial 16S ribosomal RNA
Rfam family: Bacterial small subunit ribosomal RNA
Source: RNAcentral